CCAUGAUUGUGCAGCACUAAUGGCACAAGAGACAGCAGGUUUUUUGCAUGUAAUUGAUUCUCCAUUAUCUAAUGCAGAUUUUGAGUUUUAUGUAGAUGUUUUCAGAUAUGCUGAUGAGAAGGGUAAUUUCCACACAGAUAUGCUGUAGUAUCUGCACACGAGGUAAUAAAAGCUGAACCUCUCGCUCCUCAUUGCUCUGCACAGGAGGCAGAGCUGAAGGCACUCGCUGAAAGUAAGACUGCUAAUAUUUAUAGACUCUCGCUAUGCUUUUGGUAUAGCCCAUGAUUUUGACCCUAUAUGGCGGGCUCGUGAUUUUCUCACCUCAGCAGGAACUCCAAUCAAGAACUCUGAAGCCGUGAGUGCACUUAUGAACGCUAUCCUGCUACCCACUGAAGUAGGCAUCAUCAAGGUGGCAGCUCACGUGAAGAUCACAGAUGAAAUCUCAAGAGGAAACCACAAAGCAGACAAAGCUGCCAAGCAAGCAGCAAUCCAAGUUCAUCCCUCUACAGGUAAUACCUUCCUACAAGUUGUUCUUACAGAUGACGCUGUUGACUACAAUAUACUGUUGAGCUUACAAAGACAGGCAAGCAAGGAAGAACAUGACCUCUGGAG
Pelobates cultripes (western spadefoot toad) is the source of this 612-nucleotide non-coding RNA. The record is from the annotation of a GenBank genome assembly. Lineage: Eukaryota; Metazoa; Chordata; Amphibia; Anura; Pelobatidae.